Molecule: ribosomal RNA, 610 nt
Filed under: uncultured bacterium
Lineage: Bacteria
Description: bacterial SSU rRNA
Rfam family: Bacterial small subunit ribosomal RNA (bases 1-520)
Source: RNAcentral
CCUACGGGAGGCAGCAGUGGGGAAUCUUGCGCAAUGGGCGAAAGCCUGACGCAGCAACGCCGCGUGCGGGAAGAAGGCUUUCGGGCUGUAAACCGCUUUCAGCAGGAACGAAAAUGACGGUACCUGCAGAAGAAGGAGCGGCCAACUAUGUGCCAGCAGCCGCGGUGAUACAUAGGCUUCAAGCGUUGUCCGGAUUUAUUGGGCGUAAAGAGUUCGUAGGCGGUCGAGUAAGUCGGGUGUGAAAAUUCUGGGCUCAACCCAGAGACGCCACCCGAUACUGCUUGACUUGAGUUCGAUAGGGGAGUGGGGAAUUCCUAGUGUAGCGGUGAAAUGCGCAGAUAUUAGGAGGAACACCGGUGGCGAAGGCGCCACUCUGGAUCGAUACUGACGCUGAGGAACGAAAGCAUGGGUAGCAAACAGGAUUAGAUACCCUGGUAGUCCAUGCCGUAAACGGUGGGCACUAGGUGUGGGUUUCUAUUAACGAAAUCCGCGCCGUCGCUAACGCAUUAAGUGCCCCGCCUGGGGGAGGUACGGUCGCGAGAACGUAAACUACAAANAGUAAGUUAGUACGCGUUGAGAGUUGCCGAACGGACGACGACGAGGGAGGAGG